UUGAUCCUGGCUCAGGACGAACGCUGGCGGCGUGCCUAAUACAUGCAAGUCGAGCGGAAUGAUGAAGAAGCUUGCUUCUUCUGAUUUUAGCGGCGGACGGGUGAGUAACACGUGGGCAACCUACCUUGUAGAUUGGGAUAACUCCGGGAAACCGGGGCUAAUACCGAAUAAUCCAUUUUGCUUCAUGGCAAGAUGUUGAAAGGCGGCUUCGGCUGUCACUACGAGAUGGGCCCGCGGCGUAUUAGCUAGUUGGUAGGGUAAUGGCCUACCAAGGCGACGAUACGUAGCCGACCUGAGAGGGUGAUCGGCCACACUGGGACUGAGACACGGCCCAGACUCCUACGGGAGGCAGCAGUAGGGAAUCUUCCACAAUGGACGAAAGUCUGAUGGAGCAACGCCGCGUGAGUGAAGAAGGUUUUCGGAUCGUAAAACUCUGUUGUAAGGGAAGAACACGUACGAGAGUAACUGCUCGUACCUUGACGGUACCUUAUUAGAAAGCCACGGCUAACUACGUGCCAGCAGCCGCGGUAAUACGUAGGUGGCAAGCGUUGUCCGGAAUGAUUGGGCGUA
Molecule: ribosomal RNA, 570 nt
Filed under: Sporosarcina sp. 01WB02.3-28
Lineage: Bacteria; Bacillati; Bacillota; Bacilli; Caryophanales; Caryophanaceae
Description: bacterial SSU rRNA
Rfam family: Bacterial small subunit ribosomal RNA
Source: RNAcentral